AUUGAACGCUGGCGGCAUGCUUUACACAUGCAAGUCGAACGGUAACAGGCCUUCGGGUGCUGACGAGUGGCGAACGGGUGAGUAAUGCAUCGGAACGUACCCAGAGGUGGGGGAUAACGCAGCGAAAGCUGUGCUAAUACCGCAUGUGAUCUGAGGAUGAAAGCGGGGGACCGAGCAGCAAUGUUUGGCCUCGCGCCUUUGGAGCGGCCGAUGUCGGAUUAGCUAGUUGGUGGGGUAAAGGCCUACCAAGGCGACGAUCCGUAGCUGGUCUGAGAGGACGAACAGCCACACUGGGACUGAGGCACGGCCCCGACUCCUACGGGAGGCAGCAGUGGGGAAUUUUGGACAAUGGGCGCAAGCCUGAUCCAGCAAUGCCGCGUGCGGGAAGAAGGCCUUCGGGUUGUAAACCGCUUUUGGCAGGAACGAAACGGUGUCCGCUAAUACCGGGCGCUAAUGACGGUACCUGCAGAAUAAGCACCGGCUAACUACGUG
This 492-nucleotide ribosomal RNA is filed under the name uncultured bacterium. RNAcentral describes it as "partial 16S ribosomal RNA". It matches the Rfam family "Bacterial small subunit ribosomal RNA", at positions 29 to 507 of the family's 1533-position model. The record is from RNAcentral.